UGCCAGCAGCCGCGGUAAGACAGAGGGUGCAAGCGUUAAUCGGAAUUACUGGGCGUAAAGCGCGCGUAGGUGGUGGCGUUAGUUAGAUGUGAAAUCCCCGGGCUUAACCUGGGAAUUGCAUCUAAUACUGCGUCACUAGAGUCAGGUAGAGGGAAGUGGAAUUUCCGGUGUAGCGGUGAAAUGCGUAGAUAUCGGAAGGAACACCAGUGGCGAAGGCGACUUCCUGGGCCUAGACUGACACUGAGGUGCGAAAGCGUGGGGAGCAAACAGGAUUAGAUA
This 279-nucleotide ribosomal RNA is filed under the name uncultured bacterium. RNAcentral describes it as "partial 16S ribosomal RNA". It matches the Rfam family "Bacterial small subunit ribosomal RNA", at positions 506 to 784 of the family's 1533-position model. The record is from RNAcentral.